Molecule: ribosomal RNA, 253 nt
Filed under: uncultured bacterium
Lineage: Bacteria
Description: partial 16S ribosomal RNA
Rfam family: Bacterial small subunit ribosomal RNA
Source: RNAcentral
UACGUAGGGUGCGAGCGUUGUCCGGAAUUAUUGGGCGUAAGGGGCUCGUAGGCGGUUUGUCGCGUCGGGAGUGAAAACCUCGGGCUUAACUCGGGGCUUGCUUUCGAUACGGGCAGACUAGAGGUAUGCAGGGGAGAACGGAAUUCCUGGUGUAGCGGUGAAAUGCGCAGAUAUCAGGAGGAACACCGGUGGCGAAGGCGGUUCUCUGGGCAUGUCCUGACGCUGAGGAGCGAAAGUGUGGGGAGCGAACAGG